GAUGAACGCUAGCUACAGGCUUAACACAUGCAAGUCGAGGGGUAGCAGGGUAGCAAUACCGCUGACGACCGGCGCACGGGUGAGUAACACGUAUCCAACCUUCCCAUAACUCAGGGAUAGCCUUUCGAAAGAAAGAUUAAUACCUGAUAGUACUUAAGAAAGGCAUCUUUUUUAAGUUAAAGAUUUAUUGGUUAUGGAUGGGGAUGCGUUCCAUUAGAUAGUUGGUGAGGUAACGGCUCACCAAGUCUUCGAUGGAUAGGGGUUCUGAGAGGACGGUCGCCGACAUUGGUACUGAGACGCGGAGCAAACUCCUACGGGAGGCAGCAGUGAGGAAUAUUGGUCAAUGUGCGAGAGCCUGAACCAGCAAAGUAGCGUGAAGGAUGAAGGUCCUAUGGAUUGUAAACUUCUUUUAUAGUAGAAUAAAGUGAUCCACGUGUGGAUUUUUGUCUGUAUACUAUGAAUAAGGAUCGGCUAACUCCGUGCCAGCAGCCGCGGUAA
Molecule: ribosomal RNA, 498 nt
Filed under: uncultured bacterium
Lineage: Bacteria
Description: partial 16S ribosomal RNA
Rfam family: Bacterial small subunit ribosomal RNA
Source: RNAcentral